This 406-nucleotide ribosomal RNA is filed under the name uncultured bacterium. RNAcentral describes it as "partial 16S ribosomal RNA". It matches the Rfam family "Bacterial small subunit ribosomal RNA", at positions 30 to 526 of the family's 1533-position model. The record is from RNAcentral.
AUUGAACGCUGGCGGCAGGCCUAACACAUGCAAGUCGAACGAGUGGCGGACGGGUGAGUAAUGUCUGGGAAACUGACUGAUGGAGGGGGAUAACUACUGGAAACGGUAGCUAAUACCGCAUACCAUCGGAUGUGCCCAGAUGGGAUUAGCUAGUAGGUGGGGUAAAGGCUCACCUAGGAGACGAUCCCUAGCUGGUCUGAGAGGAUGAACAGCCACACUGGAACUGAGCCACGGUCCAGACUCCUACGGGAGGCAGCAGUGGGGAAUAGUGCACAAUGGGCGCAAGCCUGAUGAAGCCAUGCAGCGUGAAUGAAGAAGGCCUUCGGGUUGUAAAGUACUUUCAGCGGGGAGGCGUUACCCGCAGAAGAAGAACCGGCUAACUCCGUGCCAGCAGCCGCGGUAAUAC